Molecule: unclassified non-coding RNA, 701 nt
Filed under: Hevea brasiliensis (rubber tree)
Lineage: Eukaryota; Viridiplantae; Streptophyta; Magnoliopsida; Malpighiales; Euphorbiaceae
Source: RNAcentral
CAACUUUCAAUCUUCAUGUUUGAUCACUCCCACAUUUCACUGCAUGAGUGCGCGUGGCUUCCUCUCUUCUCUCCUCGAGAAAACAAGCAGCCUCUUUCACUGCUGGAGCAGCAGAACCUUUUAUCGUUUCGUCUUUCUUUCUUUCUCUGUUCUGGUAAAAUGGCAGGCUCCUCAUCAUCCUAUUCCUUUCCUCGAGCUACAUUUUCUAGGUCUUUGCACUAAUACCAUCCAAUCUUAUGAUUCUUUCCUUUCCCCUCCAUUAUUGCUUUUUUCACGCUCUUGAUUUGACCAUCAUCAUCUCAUCCUGUUGAACAGAGAAUCACUUGCUCUUUGCGUUAAGACAUGUGGUACCUACAAAGCUAAUAAAGCUCUGGCUACAUUUUCCUUCUUCCCAGUUCUUUCGCAUCAUUGGAUCGACGUUUGUUCCUCUGUGCCGUCCUUUUCCUUCCCAUUGUAUCAUUGUACGGCUCUUCUGUUUUCUGCCGUGGUUUCCUUUUUCUCUGCUCUGGUUUGGGAGUAAGCUCUACUACAUUGUGUUUUUCUUUGCGUGUUUUCGGCAACCUGGGAUUUUCUCCUGGAUUUUGUCGAGAUUUCUUGGCUUUUUCUGUAUGGAGUGGAUUUGGAACUUGAGAUUUGAGCGUAUUUGGUUUUUACAAAGUAAUUCCGAGUAUUUUUGCUGUGGGUUUUGGUGAUCUUAGUCA